This 433-nucleotide ribosomal RNA is filed under the name uncultured bacterium. Its description in RNAcentral is "partial 16S ribosomal RNA". It matches the Rfam family "Bacterial small subunit ribosomal RNA", at positions 29 to 507 of the family's 1533-position model. The record is from RNAcentral.
AACGAACGCUGGCGGCAUGCCUAACACAUGCAAGUCGAACGAGACCUUCGGGUCUAGUGGCGCACGGGUGCGUAACGCGUGGGAACCUGCCUUUAGGUUCGGAAUAACUCAGAGAAAUUUGAGCUAAUACCGGAUGAUGUCUUCGGACCAAAGAUUUAUCGCCUUUAGAUGGGCCCGCGUUGGAUUAGCUAGUUGGUGGGGUAAAGGCCUACCAAGGCGACGAUCCAUAGCUGGUCUGAGUGGAUGAUCAGCCACACUGGGACUGAGACACGGCCCAGACUCCUACGGGAGGCAGCAGUGGGGAAUAUUGGACAAUGGGCGAAAGCCUGAUCCAGCAAUGCCGCGUGAGUGAUGAAGGCCUUAGGGUUGUAAAGCUCUUUUACCCGAGAUGAUAAUGACAGUAUCGGGAGAAUAAGCUCCGGCUAACUCCGUG